RNAcentral lists this unclassified non-coding RNA (232 nucleotides) under fungal sp. RNAcentral describes it as "partial internal transcribed spacer region". The stretch from base 1 to 45 matches the Rfam family "Eukaryotic small subunit ribosomal RNA", at positions 1787 to 1831 of the family's 1831-position model. Lineage: Eukaryota; Fungi. The record is from RNAcentral.
AGUCGUAACAAGGUUUCCGUAGGUGAACCUGCGGAAGGAUCAUUAACAAAUCCAUGGCGAGAGGGCUAUAUGCUCUCUCACAUAAACCGGAUCUCCGAGAGGAGGUUCGCCUGUAGCAGUCAUCCAUCCAGAAAUGGUGGUGGCAACUACAGAAAUAGGCUAUGCUUGUGUGUCUUAUAACAACAAUAUAAUCAAUCAUAAACAACUUUUAACAAUGGAUCUCUUGGCUCUU